RNAcentral lists this ribosomal RNA (497 nucleotides) under uncultured bacterium. Its description in RNAcentral is "partial 16S ribosomal RNA". It matches the Rfam family "Bacterial small subunit ribosomal RNA", at positions 28 to 507 of the family's 1533-position model. The record is from RNAcentral.
GACGAACGCUGGCGGCGUGCCUAAUACAUGCAAGUUGAGCGCUGAAGGUUGGUACUUGUACCAACUGGAUGAGCAGCGGACGGGUGAGUAACGCGUGGGGAAUCUGCCUUUGAGCGGGGGACAACAUUUGGAAACGAAUGCUAAUACCGCAUAAAAACUUUAAACACAAGUUUUAAGUUUGAAAGAUGCAAUUGCAUCACUCAAAGAUGAUCCCGCGUUGUAUUAGCUAGUUGGUGAGGUAAAGGCUCACCAAGGCGAGGAUACAUAGGCGACCUGAGAGGGGGAUCGGCCACAUUGGGAAUGAGACACGGCCCAAAACCCUACGGGAGGGAGCAGUAGGGAAUCUUAGGCAAUGGAAGAAAGUCUGAACGAGCAACGCCGCGUGAGUGAAGAAGGGUGUCGGAUCGUAAAAAUCUGUUGGUAGAGAAGAACGUUGGUGAGAGUGGAAAGCUCAUCAAGUGACGGUAACUACACAGAAAGGGACGGCUAACUACGUG